This 322-nucleotide ribosomal RNA is filed under the name uncultured bacterium. RNAcentral describes it as "bacterial SSU rRNA". It matches the Rfam family "Bacterial small subunit ribosomal RNA", at positions 28 to 338 of the family's 1533-position model. The record is from RNAcentral.
GAUGAACGCUGGCGGCGUGCCUAAUACAUGCAAGUCGAGCGAAUGGAUUAAGAGCUUGCUCUUAUGAAGUUAGCGGCGGACGGGUGAGUAACACGUGGGUAACCUGCCCAUAAGACUGGGAUAACUCCGGGAAACCGGGGCUAAUACCGGAUAAUAUUUUGAACUGCAUAGUUCGAAAUUGAAAGGCGGCUUCGGCUGUCACUUAUGGAUGGACCCGCGUCGCAUUAGCUAGUUGGUGAGGUAACGGCUCACCAAGGCAACGAUGCGUAGCCGACCUGAGAGGGUGAUCGGCCACACUGGGACUGAGACACGGCCCAGACUC